UUAAAAAAAAUGUGCACACACAAGAGAGACAACGAAUCUAUUUGAAGACUGACAACUUAGUAAACUGAAACUUCCAAGAACAGCAGUUUCCCACCUGUCAGUAACCAUGCAUGCCUUACUGCUGACAGAACCAGCUCCCAGGCCACCAAGAUGCAUCAGGCAGAGCUGCUGCUCUCUGGUACUGACAUAGCAGCUAAAUCUGAUUUUUAACCCCACAAAAUUCCUGCUAGUUUUGUUAAGAAGGCAAUUGUAUAUAUCACAUAAGGGAUAAAGUUAUUUCACUUGUGUGGAAACCACUGUUCAGAGGAAUAGCUGAAUGCACCAAACAAAGGAUACAAAUCUAUCCUUUCCAUAUAAUUAAAAGCAUUAUGCUUAAAAUUUGAAUGAAUUUUGGUAAAGCUGCACAUUAUAAAUUUGCUUUUCAGCCACAAACACUGGACUCUGUUCGAAUCAUAAGUGAAAUAUAUUUCAAUACUCCCAAAGUAUUAUGCUUGUGACAUCAGCCUGCAGAAAUUCUUGCAACUAGUUUCCUCACAUAAGCCAUUAAUAAUCUGAUGAUUAUGGAUCCCAUAAUACUCCUCUCCUCUUACAUAGUUGCACUUUUGCUUAGAGAGCAGUAAGAAAUACAACAACUCAAUAGUCUAUGUCGAAAUGCUGAACUCCUCAUAAACCAACUUGUAAAAAAAACAGUUGAAUUAGAUUUUAGAACAGUUUCAAUUUCUUAAGCUGAGGAAACAUGCCUAAUCAUUGGUACCAGUUGUGGAGGAGACAGUCAUUUUCAAGACUCCUCCCCAGGCUUAAGUAGUAAAAUCGAGACUUUCCAUAACAACUCUUGUUCCUUAAGAGGACAGUAAAAGCUGUAGUAAAAGCUAUAUCACUCUAAAUAUAUCUAAAGAUGCAGGAAACAAACACACAAGUUUUUAUGGAGCAUUGCUGAGACAGAGACAUUUAAAAAAACCCAAAACAACAGCUCUAAAUUUUCAUUCUGCUUGUUGUUUUGGGGGGUUGUGAGGUUUUUGUGUGUUCUUCUUUUGAGACUUCCUGAUACUCUAAAAAGAAAUCGUAAAUCUGCUUUUCUUGCCUCCUGCAGAGAAUCUAGCUUUAUUACCUGUAGGGAAAUAAUAUUACCAAAUUUGAAGAGCUACUUACAGAAAAGAAGAAAAUGCUCUAAGUCAGGCCUCAGUAAGGGUAAUAAAUUUAUUUUGUUUCUUUCCCUUUGUGCGUUUAUUUUACAAGAAUCUAUUAUUUUCUUAAUUGUUGUGUUGUGCUCCAGAAGUAGUACUAUUUUCUUAAUCUAUAUAUGAGUUUUUAUGGAGUUUUACAGAGACCUUUAUUCCAGUAGUCCUGAACCUUCUGUUUCAAACUCAAGUCCAGUUUUUUUAAACAAGUGAUCACAAAUUUAUUGCAGCCCUUACACAGUUUGCUGCUUGCUUUGAAUAUCUGACGUCUUAUCUGUUCUGCACCCACAAUGCCUAGUGUACACCAAAACAUAAAGUUGCACCUCACAAAUAUGGCAAACAAAUGCUGAAAAAACCGCAUUCUACUCUCAUUUAUUACAGCCAGAUGCCUUCCUCUAUGCUGCCUACUCCACAACUCUGGGAGAAGCCUCCCCACCUGCUGAAGCAAAGCAGGGGGCUCCUCUGGACACCCCGACCGCUGCUCUCGGAUGAAUCAGCAUUGCCUAGAAAACAUAAAGCUCCUUAAAGAGGCUUGCGAUUCUUGCAGCUCUUGAUCAGCAUUCCUUCGGCUUUGUUCACAACUAGUUUAGGAUGCAGCAAAGCUCCGUGUUUAUGAAAACAGAAGCGUAAAACAAACCCAAACUGGUGAGAAGAGCGAGCUGCGUUGCUCAUCACACCGAAUGGUUGUGAGCAUUUUGCUGCGGAAUCCUGCUGUGAAUAUCCUACCGCUCCAUGACUCGAGCUUAAUCGACUGGGGACUUCAACUCUGCUCUCCAGCAUUAUCAUGAGCUUCUAAAGUUCAGUUAAAAUACUGCGUGUGUCCAUCCCUUUCCUUCUCCAUGUGCUGCACUACAUUAAUGUAUUAAGACCCAGUAAAUCGUUUUCUCAAGGAAAACAAGUCCAGUAUUCAUAAAAGCAGUACAAAUAACAAUCGAACAACAGUCUCACUGUCAAACAGGCUUGUUUGGGCCUCAGUAUUCCUUCAGAAAACCCUGUUCUACUGUCCUGCGCAAUGCUUUUUAUCAGCAUACCAAGGCUCCAAGCACAUUAUUUCCGUGCAACUCUCCUUCUUUGCUCCUGCAUAAGAAAGACAUCCUCUGAUCACUUUUUCCUUUUGAUUCUAACAGAUGCUGAGGUGCUGUCAGUGGAAGAAGACUACCUGGGCAUUGUGAGAAAUCAGGUUGUGAUUCGUGUCAAUCAAAUAGCACCCAUCUAUGUAUGUGUGUCUGUGGGCAAUGCAGACAGAGACCAUGGGAUUAUUAUAAAGAAGAGUUUUAAGAAUCAGCUAAAGUAAGGCAUGGAAGUGAGGUUUAACAAAGUAACUAUAUAACAGUAAACUUCUAGCAGUUUGUUUUAACAAUAAAAUUGUAAUUACCUACAAGUAAUUAAUACAAGCUUUAGAAUACCUUGUAGUAUAAGUCUCAAACUAUUCUUUGUACAAGCUAUAAAUUGGUUUUUUUUGGAGUACAGAAGAAUUUGGAAACACUUAAAAACAGGAAAGUAAGCUGAGAGGAACAUGACCUGAGAGGCAUUUUUAAACAUGCUUAUUUUAAGUUUUGUAAUAGCUGAGAAAGAGGCCCUAUGAUGACAUUUUUUUACACAUGCUGGCUGUAAGUUGUGAAAUGACUGAAAGAGGACUUGCAAAAUGUAUACUAGCAGAAUAUAUAUAUGCUUUCUUGGACAAACUGUAUAACCAAAACAAUGCUAGUGGAAAAAAGAUAUUUUAGAAGAAGAAUAGGAAGCGGAAGAGACAUCAGAAGACCAUCUCAGACCACCUCAACAACAGAGCUUCAAAAACCACAACUGCUGAUUAUGAAGAAAAGCAAGUGGAAAGUAACUGAAAGUUUGAGGAAGUGCCUAGAAUGGUAUAAGAAGACUACCAUGUAAACCCUGAAUUUGUGCAUUGCUUAGGGCAGUGACCCUCAUGCACUCAGUGCUGUUAAAUUUGCUCACCUUUUAUCGAACAAAUUAGUAAAUUUGCUAUAUUGCUUCAUGUA
Non-coding RNA from Cyanistes caeruleus (blue tit), 3175 nucleotides. NCBI's taxonomy places the organism in Eukaryota, Metazoa, Chordata, Aves, Passeriformes, Paridae. The record is from RefSeq and is a predicted model, not a curated record.